This 1330-nucleotide long non-coding RNA is filed under the name Mytilus galloprovincialis (Mediterranean mussel). The record is from RNAcentral. Lineage: Eukaryota; Metazoa; Mollusca; Bivalvia; Mytilida; Mytilidae.
GCAUUAUUCAAACACGCACCUUUCCUGUAUUUGAAAAAGAACAACAAAGGACGAAGUCGAAAGAGAAACUUCCCGUUUAUCACGUAUAUAUAUGGUAUGUAGAUGUUUGCAUGUGGCUAUCACGGUUUGUUAUAUUUAUGAAUUGUGUUUAGAAACUCUGAAUUGGUAUCAUAUUGCACAAUUAGAGAAAAUUAUAACGUCAACAUUGUUUUCCAGAAAACAGAUCAGAACACAUGGAAUCAUAUAUAAUUUCCUCCAAUUAUACUAUUUCUAAGAGCAUUUAAUGUGGAAAGCAUAUUUAGUUUCAUUUUAAAGUUUAGGUAAAAGAUUGUUACAAUUAUUAUGCUUAAAGAUUCAUAUAAGAAAAAGGGGGAUAAGCAAGUGUUUUAACAUUUUGCUUGAGGUAAAUUUCCCAACAUGUUUACUUUAUACUAUAUAUAUGCGAUUCUUUUAGUUUAACUUUAAGGCUUGGUAAACCACAUACUUUUUGACGAUCAUAUGAAACAAUGAAUUUCAACUGUACAACAAAGUAUUGAAUUUGAACGAUCAUGGAAAAUUGAUACUUUUUAUUGUUUUAUUUUUACAAAAACAAGUCAGUCUGAGCCUGUACUGAUCUUCAGGUGAUCUCUAACUCUGUGUAAUAUGAGAAAUGCAUGUUUACAUUAAUGUGUACGUAACCUGGUUUUGAAUGUUAUAGCAGUCCAUUAUCAUGAUUAUCUGAUAUCAUGAGCAUGUAUUAUUUAUUUUACAGAAGCUUGUCAAACAGAUCAAUCAGGCUAAAAGGCAUCAAGUGGAGCAAAAUUAAAAUUCAGUUUUGGGAAUUCCAGUCUUUAAAAUCAUCAAAGGUAGGUUUUUAUGUCUGUAUAGCUAUAUACCAUUUGUGUUUCAAAGAUUAAAUCUUUUGUUUAUUCUAAUUUUGUUUACCUUACAUACCAUAUUAUGUUUGUCUUUAUAUCUAAGCUAUUCUAGUAAAGCUCUUUAUUUUAUGUUAAUGGAAUUGUGCAGUCAUCAAUAAAAAAAAACGUCUUACUUAGGUAAAGUGUUUUCAUUGUUAUCAAUAACAUAGUGAAACCCGCAGUUUUACAAAACUCAGGUUGAAGCUUCUUCAUUAAAAAAAAACUACUAAUAGUAAACAUCAAUGUAUAUAUUUUUAUUAAUGAUUAUCUUUAUUACAAUAUGUGCUUCGUCAUUAUGGUUUUAUUUAUUUUCAUGCUUCUAGAAACAAAUUGAAAGUGGCUAAAAUUUAAAAUAUCUUUUUCAGGACAUACAAUUUAUAUUUAUUAUAUAUAUAUAAUCUGAUUUUUUCCAGAGUUUAAAUAUACUGCAAGAG